RNAcentral lists this ribosomal RNA (439 nucleotides) under uncultured bacterium. Its description in RNAcentral is "partial 16S ribosomal RNA". It matches the Rfam family "Bacterial small subunit ribosomal RNA", at positions 339 to 795 of the family's 1533-position model. The record is from RNAcentral.
CUACGGGCCGCUCCAGUGAGGAAUAUUGCACAAUGGGGGGAACCCUGAUGCAGCAACGCCGCGUGGAGGAUGACGCAUUUCGGUGUGUAAACUCCUUUUAUAUGCCAAGAAAAUGAUGGUAGCAUAUGAAUAAGCACCGGCUAACUCCGUGCCAGCAGCCGCGGUAAUACGGAGGGUGCAAGCGUUACUCGGAAUCACUGGGCGUAAAGGACGCGUAGGCGGGUUGGAAAGUCAGGUGUGAAAUCCUACAGCUUAACUGUAGAACUGCACUUGAAACUUCUAAUCUAGAGUAUGGGAGGGGGAGAUGGAAUUAGUGGUGUAGGGGUAAAAUCCGUAGAUAUCACUAGGAAUACCUAAAGCGAAGGCGAUCUCCUGGAACAUUACUGACGCUAAGGCGUGAAAGCGUGGGGAGCAAACAGGAUUAGAUACCCGCGUAGUC